UCCGUAGGCGGUUUAGUAAGUCAGUGGUGAAAGCCCCUCGCUCAACGAUGGAACGGCCAUUGAUACUGCUAGACUUGAAUUACAAAGAAGUAACUAGAAUAUGUAGUGUAGCGGUGAAAUGCUUAGAUAUUACAUGGAAUACCAAUUGCGAAGGCAGGUUACUAUUUGUGGAUUGACGCUGAUGGACGAAAGCGUGGGGAGCGAACAGGAUUAGAUACCCGAGUA
Molecule: ribosomal RNA, 225 nt
Filed under: uncultured Flavobacterium sp.
Lineage: Bacteria; Pseudomonadati; Bacteroidota; Flavobacteriia; Flavobacteriales; Flavobacteriaceae
Description: partial 16S ribosomal RNA
Rfam family: Bacterial small subunit ribosomal RNA
Source: RNAcentral